AAACGCAAGUUCAAUAUGUUGCACAUGUUGACAGUUUUGCCAUUUUAGAGAAGAUGGAUCAACAUGGAUAUAUGAGCUACAAUCAGCAAUCUACACAUCAGAAACCGGUUCAGCAAUCUACAAGCUUCACUCCGACUUAUGCUUCUUCAACCCAAGCCCACUGAUAAUAGGUUUUUAGUCAAUUGUCCUAAAACACCAAUCAUGUCGUUGUAGUAUUUUAGGUGUCAAUCCAAAUGGGUGUGAUGCAAACAGAUGAGAUGUGAUCAGAAGUCACUAAGUCAAGCCAAGCAAUAACAGUUUUGGGGUUUCUAACAGUCCUAGUGAACAUGCAGAAAACAGAAACAAUAACAGAAUUAGUAAAAUCACUCGACCACAACAGGCUGAUGCCAGAAGUAGGAUGUGGCCGAGUAACAGGCAGGAUAUGAAACAGAUAUACUCGACUGCACAGUCUGUUGCCAGACACUGGGUGUGGUCGAGUAAGUUGAUCGAGUGAUUGCAAAAACAAAGAAACAAGCAAUGAGAACGAUUAAGUGAUAACGAUAAAACAGAGAAAUCAGAUAGACGAGAAAUUCCUAAGGAUGGGGUAAUCGAAUAGAGUGGUAUCCUAGCCUAUCCGAAUGAUUAACAAGCGCAAUCAAGCUAUCCCUAGACAACAGGUUCAACAACAGAUCAAUUCACUCCCGUGAUAGAAAUCCUCAAGCAAAGCUAGCCCAGACUAAUUCCUAUUAACGAAAUCUAACUAUGCAGGCAAUAAGAACAGACUGAUAAUCUCAAUAAAUGCUCUAAACGGCCAAUCCCUUGGGAUAGAGACAAAUAUCUCAGGAACUAGUGGAUCAAGCAUUCCAUCGAACACCUUUUGGGUGCGGGAAUGCUUGGGAUCGAAUUCCAGUUGAUCAAAAAUA
This 902-nucleotide small RNA is filed under the name Arabidopsis thaliana (thale cress). RNAcentral describes it as "ATSL273940". The record is from RNAcentral. Lineage: Eukaryota; Viridiplantae; Streptophyta; Magnoliopsida; Brassicales; Brassicaceae.